RNAcentral lists this ribosomal RNA (778 nucleotides) under uncultured Neocallimastigales. RNAcentral's name for it is "partial large subunit ribosomal RNA". It matches the Rfam family "Eukaryotic large subunit ribosomal RNA", at positions 24 to 643 of the family's 3401-position model. The record is from RNAcentral. Lineage: Eukaryota; Fungi; Neocallimastigomycota; Neocallimastigomycetes; Neocallimastigales.
UAUCUCUGUAGAGUCUGCAUAUCAAUAAGCGGAGGAAAAGAAACUAACUAGGAUUCCCUUAGUAACGGCGAGUGAAGCGGGAAGAGCUCAAAUUUGAAAUCUUCAAGGUUCUACCUUGACGAAUUGUAGUUUAAAGAAGUGUUUUCUGCUGAGAUGAGUAGCAAAAGUUCCUUUGGAAUAGGACAUCAUAGAGGGUGAGAGUCCCGUAUUUGACAUUAUUCUUCUAGCUUUGUGAUACACUUUCAAAGAGUCGGAUUGUUUGGGAAUGCAGUCCAAAAUGGGUGGUAAAUUUCAUCUAAAGCUAAAUAUUGGCGAGAGACCGAUAGCGAACAAGUACCGUGAGGGAAAGAUGAAAAGAACUUUGAAAAGAGAGUUAAACAGUACGUGAAAUUGUCAAAAGGGAAGCGUUUGACACCAGUGUUGUUUUUCUCGAAAAUCAAUUAAGAAUGGCAUGAUUCUGUGUUGUAUUGACCUUAUCAGCUUUCUUCACUCUUUUCUAGUCUUUCUUAAUGCACUUUUCGGUUAACAAGUCAACAUCAAUUUCUUUUGUUGUAAAAGAGUAUUCGGAAGGUGGCUUUCUUUUCGGAGAAAGUGUUUAUAGCCCUAUACUUCUACAAUCGGAGAGAUUGAGGUCUGCAGCGUAGAUCCUUCGGGGUUAGAUACACUUGUGCUAAGUUGUAGCUUUUCAUAGACAACUUGUUGACUAUGUUUAGUCAUGCGGCUUACUCGCUUGUGCUAUUUUACCUACGCUUAGGAUGUUGAAGAUGUAGCACAUCAU